Molecule: ribosomal RNA, 1806 nt
Filed under: human gut metagenome
Description: bacterial LSU rRNA
Rfam family: Bacterial large subunit ribosomal RNA
Source: RNAcentral
UAAGUGAAUACAUAGUUUAGCGAGGGGAACCCGGUGAACUGAAACAUCUAAGUACCCGGAGGAAGAGAAAGAAAUUCGAUUCCGUAAGUAGCGGCGAGCGAACGCGGAACAGGCCAAACCAAUGAAGUUUACUUCGUUGGGGUUGCGGACAUACAACAUGGAUGCAAUAUCGUAAAUGAAGAGAGUUGGAAAGCUCCGCCAUAGAAGGUAAUAGCCCUGUAGUUGAAACGAGAAAGCUACUAGUAUGAUCCAGAGUACCACGGGACACGUGAAACCCUGUGGGAAGCAGGAGGGACCAUCCUCCAAGCCUAAAUACUACCUAGUGACCGAUAGCGCAUAGUACCGUGAGGGAAAGGUGAAAAGAACCCCGGGAGGGGAGUGAAAUAGAACCUGAAACCCUGCACUUACAAGCUGUGGGAGCACAUUACUUGUGUGACCGCGUACUUUUUGUAGAACGGGCCAACGAGUUACGUUAAGUAGCAAGGUUAAGCACUUAAGGUGUGGAGCCGUAGCGAAAGCGAGUCUUAAAUGGGCGAUUAAGUUACUUGGCGUAGACCCGAAACCGGGCGACCUAUCCAUGAGCAGGUUGAAGCGAAAGUAAAAUUUCGUGGAGGACCGAACCCACGAGCGUUGAAAAGCUCGGGGAUGACUUGUGGAUAGCGGUGAAAUUCCAAUCGAGCCCGGAGAUAGCUGGUUCUCCCCGAAAUAGCUUUAGGGCUAGCCUCAAGCGUAGAGAAACGGAGGUAGAGCACUGAAUGUCCUAGGGGGUAUUGCACUUACCGAAGACUAUCAAACUCCGAAUGCCGUUUUCUUUUACUUGGGAGUCAGACUGUGGGUGAUAAGAUUCAUAGUCAAAAGGGCAACAGCCCAGAUCGUCAGCUAAGGUCCCUAAAUGUACGUUAAGUGGUAAAGGAUGUGGGAUUGCACAGACAACCAGGAUGUUGGCUUAGAAGCAGCCACUCAUUUAAAGAGUGCGUAAUAGCUCACUGGUCGAGUGAUCCUGCGCCGAAAAUUUCCGGGGCUAAAACGUACUACCGAAGCUACGGCAUCAUUUAUGAUGGGUAGGGGAGCUUCGUAUGCAGGCUGAAGCAUGACCGUAAGGACAUGUGGACAGUAUACGAGUGAGAAUGUUGGCAUGAGUAGCGAGACGUGGGUGAGAAUCCCACGGGCCGUAAACCCAAGGUUUCCAGGGGAAGGUUCGUCCGCCCUGGGUUAGUCGGGACCUAAGCCGAGGCCGAAAGGCGUAGGUGAUGGACAACAGGUUGAUAUUCCUGUACCGCCAAUAAGCGUUUGAGAGAUGGAGUGACACAGUAGGAUAAGCUAACCGUACUGUUGGUUAUGUACGGCUAAGCAUUGAGGCAGUCUAAAUAGGCAAAUCCGUUUAGACAAUGCUAGGAUGUGAUGGGGAAGCCCUUCGGGGCGAAGUAGCUGAUUUCACACUGUCAAGAAAAGCUUCUAUCGAGUUUAAAGGCGCCCGUACCGUAAACCGACACAGGUGGGUGAGGAGAGUAUCCUAAGGCCAGCGAGAGAACUAUUGUUAAGGAACUCGGCAAAAUGACCCCGUAACUUAGGGAGAAGGGGUGCCUGUCUAUGACAGGCCGCAGAGAAUAGGCCCAAGCGACUGUUUACCAAAAACACAGGUUUCUGCUAAGUCGCAAGACGAUGUAUAGGAGCUGACGCCUGCCCGGUGCUGGAAGGUUAAGGGGAUCUGUUAGAGCAAUCGAAGCAGUGAACUUAAGCCCCAGUAAACGGCGGCCGUAACUAUAACGGUCCUAAGGUAGCGAAAUUCCUUGUCGGGUAAGUUCC